GUGCUCCCCCGCUAAUUCCUUCCGGUAGGAUCCAUGCGAGAAGGGUCAAUUCGGCGGAUAUUCAUCAGAUUGGCUGCCGCUCUAAGAUGCAUCUAAAGGGACUCAUUCCCCAUAUAGCGAGUCUUAUUACUGGUCACUAGGCCGUCAUUUUAUCACGUUUGGUCUGGCAAAUUUCUGGCCUUACCCAACAUAAUCUUCUUGCAAGACAUCCUCCUUUCUGCAGGUGGUGUAUGAAUCAACAGAUUUUACCCCAUCGCCUUUAGUAACAGUUGCCUCUCCUGACUGGUAAAUGUAUACGAUCUGCAGCAGCCCAUUUGUUACGGAGGUGGAGUUGAUUAAACACUUGGAGAACCCUAUACUUGUGAUUUACGUACAAUCCACUCCUUUACCUUUCUUCGCUGUCUGUUUAUUACCGCGUUCGCUGACUUUCCACUUGAAGAUCUCUUACUCUGGCUCCCUUUUAGGGUGCCAUAAGAUGCUUUUAGUGCCACCACUCCAAGAAACUUUAGUAGGGUGAUGGCUAUUGUAGAGGGUUCUCGCCUGGAUAGACCCGUUAUCGCCCGUUGACUUGUCACACGACCAUCUUUAGGAUCGCACUCUUGUACCCCACUGCAACAACACGCAAGCCUAUCUCAUUACUAUUCUUACGAUUUGAUCGGCACUUUGCCGAUCUCGGCCUCUUGUAUAUUUGAUGAACUGAUCUUUCCAAAAUUAGAGACUUAUUUUGACUUAUCCUCAGUUUCACGAGGUGAUCCACGUAGCCUGAACAUGUUGACUACAUGUUACUGAGACGGAUGCCACAUCUGACUAUUUGACUCUCAUGGCUAUCUCCACUCUGAUAACACUCGCGUCCAGAAAGAUCAAGUAGAUUGCGGUGAACUCACCUGAUAUUCAUUAGACUGGGCGGCUUUAUAGAAUGCAUGCAAAGCGGACUUGUCAGCUUAGACGGCUUCUGAUAAA
This 960-nucleotide ribosomal RNA is filed under the name uncultured archaeon. Its description in RNAcentral is "partial 16S ribosomal RNA". The record is from RNAcentral.